This 407-nucleotide ribosomal RNA is filed under the name uncultured bacterium. Its description in RNAcentral is "partial 16S ribosomal RNA". It matches the Rfam family "Bacterial small subunit ribosomal RNA", at positions 28 to 526 of the family's 1533-position model. The record is from RNAcentral.
GACGAACGCUGGCGGCGUGCCUAAUACAUGCAAGUCGAACGCAGUUGCGAACGGGUGAGUAAUGCGUAGGUAACUGCCUCAUAGCGGGGGUUAACUAUUGGAACCGAUAGCUAAUCCCGCUUACUGUGAGAUGUACCUGCGUUGUAUUCGGUAGUUGGUGAGGUAAAGGCUCACCAAGGCGGCGAUACAUAGCCGAGCUGAGAGGGUGAACGGGCACACCGGGACUGGGACAACGCCCAGGAUCCUAAGGGGAGCAGCAGGAGGGAAUCUUCGGCAAUGGACGGAAGGCUGAACGAGCAACGCCGGGGGAGUGGAGAAGGGUUUCGGGUCGGAAAGCUAUGUUGUGAGAGAAGCGGUAACUAAACAGAAAGGGACGGCUAACUACGUGCCAGCAGCCGCGGUAAUAC